AAUAAAAGUAUAGCUCUCUGUCUCCACAUAAAGCAAGAGGGAACUGGAUACCUGUCUUGUCUGAAAUACAGGAGGUUGUUGGGUGCUAAACACGAACCACUGACGGAAAAUUGAAUGAAGCUCCACCUUUCAAGGACCCUGCCAUCAAUGUUUUGUUCUCAUGCCAAAUUACUGGAGUAUAAAUAUGUGCCUAUACGCCAUGAAAAAAACACUUCUCUGGAAGGAUUUUCAAGUCACCACUGCAUGGCAAGAUGGAUAUAAAAAAGGGGAGGUCAUUUUGGAUCUUUUGCCUGAUUUGGAGUUGUUGCAGCGGCAAAGAACCAGUUCAGAUAGUCCAGGUGUCUACCGUCAGUAGGAGUGAAUGUGCCACCUGGGGCAAUUUCCAUUUUCAUACAUUUGACCAUGUUAAAUUCACUUUUCCUGGAACCUGCACAUAUGUCUUCGCUUCGCACUGCAAUGACAGCUACCAGGACUUUAACAUCCAAAUCAGGCGCAGUAACAAGAAUAGCUUCCUGAUAUACUUCACUGUCACUAUUGAUGGAGUGAUCUUGGAGGUGAAGGAGACAGGCAUCACAGUGAAUGGGAACAAGAUCCACAUGCCCUUCAGCUUGAAGAGCAUCCUGAUUGAGGACACCUGUACUUACUUCCAAGUCACUUCCAAGCUGGGCCUGACACUCAAGUGGAACUGGGCUGACACUCUCCUACUGGACCUAGAAGAAACAUAUAAAGAGAAAAUAUGCGGUCUAUGCGGGAACUAUGAUGGCAGUGAGAAGAAUGAUUUGGUUUUGGAUGGGUAUAAAAUGCAUCCAAGGCAGUUUGGGAACUUCCACAAAGUAGAGGAUCCAUCAGGAAAGUGUGCUGAUGUGAGUUCAGAUGACCGCACUGGAAGACAUCCUAGGAGAGAAGACAACAGAUGCAGUAAAUAUAGAAAAAGAUGCAAGAAGCUUAUGUCUCGUUUUGGAAACUGCCCCAAAGUUGUUGCUUUUGAUGACUACGUAGAGACCUGCACUGAGGAUAUGUGCCACUGUGCAGUUAAUUCUUCUCACUUUGACUUGGUUUCCAGCUGCAUAUGCAGCACUUUAAACCAGUACUCUCGAGAUUGUGUCCUCAGGAAAGGAGACCCUGGGGAAUGGAGAACCAAAGAACUUUGCUAUCAGGAAUGCCCAAACAACAUGGUGUACAUGGAAUGUGGAAACUCCUGCGCUGACACAUGUGCUGACCCAGAAAGGAGCAAGAUUUGUAAAGCCCCAUGUACAGAUGGCUGUUUCUGUCCUCCUGGAACUAUCCUUGACGAUCUUGCUGGCAAAAAAUGCAUCCCCAGAGACAGCUGUCCCUGUAUGUUUCAAGGCAAAGUCUACUCAUCGGGAGGGACCUACUCCACUCCCUGCCAAAACUGUAUCUGCAAAGGAGGCCACUGGAGCUGUAUCUCCCUGCCCUGUUCUGGAAUUUGCAAUAUAGAUGGAGGAUUCCACAUAACAACGUUUGAUAAUAAGAGAUUCAAUUUUCAUGGCAACUGCCAUUAUGUCUUAGCUAAGAAUACUGAUGAUACAUUUGUGGUGAUUGGAGAGAUUAUCCAGUGUGGAACAUCAAAGACAAUGACUUGCUUAAAGAAUGUAUUAGUCACUCUAGGAAGAACUACAAUAAAAAUAUGUUCCUGUGGAAAUAUCUACAUGAACAAUUUCAUUGUGAAGCUGCCAGUAAGCAAAGAUGGCAUCACCAUCUUCAGACCCUCUACAUUUUUCAUCAAAAUCUUGAGCGCAACUGGAGUACAGAUUCAAGUGCAAAUGAAACCUGUAAUGCAGCUCUCCAUAACAGUCAAUCAUUCUUAUCAGAAUCGCACAUCUGGUCUUUGUGGCAAUUUCAAUAACAUCCAGACUGACGACUUCAGAACAGUCACUGGAGCUGUGGAAGACUCAGCUUCUGCUUUUGGUAACUCAUGGAAAACUAGAGCCAGCUGUUUUGAUGUUGAGGACAGCUUUGAAGAUCCUUGUUCAAACAGCGUGGAUAAAGAAAAAUUUGCCCAACAAUGGUGUUCUCUUCUGUCCAAUGCAAGCAGCGUGUUUGCUGCCUGCCAUUCUGUUGUAGAGCCUUCAGUAUACAUCAAGAAAUGUAUGUAUGACACCUGUAAUUCUGAGAAGAGUGAAGUUGCUCUGUGUAGUGUGCUCUCUACCUACUCCAGAGACUGUGCUGCAGCAGGCAUAUCCCUGAAGGGCUGGAGGCAGGGCAUCUGUGAUCCCUCUGAGGAGUGUCCUGCGACUAUGGUUUAUAACUAUAGUGUGAAAUACUGUAACCAGUCUUGCCGCUCGCUGGAUGAACCUGAUCCACUGUGUAAAGUUCAGAUUGCUCCUAUGGAGGGCUGUGGUUGCCCUGAAGGGACCUACAUCAAUGAUGAGGAGGAAUGUGUAACUCCAGAUGACUGUCCCUGCUACUACAAAGGCAAGAUUGUUCAGCCUGGCAACUCUUUCCAAGAGGACAAACUGAUGUGCAAAUGCAUUCAAGGAAGAUUAGACUGCAUUGGAGAGACUGUCCUGGUGAAAGAUUGCCCUGCUCCUAUGUAUUACUUCAACUGCAGCUCUGCAGGUCCUGGUGCAACUGGAUCAGAGUGUCAGAAAAGUUGUAAGACACAGGACAUGCAUUGUUAUGUCACAGAAUGUGCUUCUGGCUGCAUGUGUCCUGAUGGGCUGGUAUUGGAUGGCAGUGGAGGAUGUAUUCCCAAAGAUCAAUGCCCAUGUGUUCAUGGAGGACAGUUUUAUAAACCUGGGGAAACCAUCAAAGUGGACUGCAACACAUGCACCUGCAACAAAAGGGAGUGGAACUGCACAGAAAAUCCCUGCAAAGGAACCUGCACUGUGUAUGGAAAUGGACAUUACAUGAGCUUUGAUGGGGAGAAGUUUGAUUUCCUGGGAGACUGUGACUAUAUCCUAGCUCAGGAUUUUUGCCCCAAUAAUAAGGAUGCUGGCACCUUCCGAAUUGUAAUUCAGAACAAUGCCUGUGGGAAGUCACUGUCCAUCUGUUCCCUAAAGAUCACACUGAUUUUUGAGAGCAGUGAAAUAAGGCUCUUGGAAGGAAGGAUUCAAGAGAUAGCCACUGAUCCAGGAGCUGAGAAGAAUUACCAAGUGGAUCUCAGAGGAGGUUAUAUUGUGAUUGAAACAAAUCAAGGGAUGAACUUCAUGUGGGACCAGAAGACUACUGUUGUUGUUCACGUGGCACCAUCUUUCAAGGGAAAAGUCUGUGGCCUUUGUGGGGACUUUGAUGGCCGCUCAAGAAAUGACUUCACGACCAGAGGGCAGUCCAUGGAGAUGAGUAUCCAGGAGUUUGGAAACAGCUGGAAAAUAACAAGCACCUGCUCAAACGUCAACAUGACAGACCUGUGUGCUGAUCAGCCUUUCAAGACUGCUCUGGGACAAAAGCACUGCAGCAUCAUUAAGAGUAACAUCUUUGAAGCUUGUCACAGUAAGGUGAACCCAAUACCAUAUUAUGAAUCUUGUAUUUCUGACUUCUGUGGCUGUGACAGUGUGGGAGACUGUGAGUGCUUUUGUACCUCAGUUGCUGCUUAUUCAAGAAGCUGUAGCAGAGCUGGUGUCUGUAUCAACUGGAGAACUCCUGCCAUCUGCCCUGUGUUCUGUGAUUAUUACAAUCCACCUGACAAACAUGAGUGGUUUUACAAACCCUGUGGAGCCCCUUGUCUGAAGACUUGCAGGAACCCACAAGGGAAAUGUGGGAACUUGCUGUACAGUUUAGAAGGCUGUUACCCGGAGUGCAGUCCUGAUAAGCCAUAUUUUGAUGAGGAGAGCAGGGAGUGUGUCUCCCUCCCCAACUGCACUUCAUGUGAUCCCGAACAGAAACUGUGUACUGAAGACUCCAAAGAAUGCCUUUGCUGCUACAAUGGAAAGACCUACGCCUUAAAUGAAACUGUAUACAGCCAAGCAUAUGGGACCAAGUGUGGUGAUGCUGUCUGUGGCCCUAAUGGGGAGAUCAUUAAAACAUCCAUCCCUUGCAGAACACCAUCCACACCAGCACAAGAAGCACAAAUGCAGCAUGCAACGUCUACACCUCCAUCGUCAAUGGCAGCCACUCCCUGCUUCUGCAAUGACAAUGGACAAUUGAUACAAAUGGGAGAAAAUGUUUCUCUGCCAGUGAAUGUAUCAGGUCACUGUGCUUACUCCAUUUGCAAUGCAUCAUGUCAGAUUGAAUUAAUUUGGGCAGAGUGUAAAAUUGGUCAUACUGAAGCCCUCAAGACCUGUGAUCCAAACUCUGAAGCCUGUCCACUAACACCUGCUCCCAGUGCACCAAGCCAAGUUCCUGCUUCAACAGGGACUCCCGUGAGCGAUUGUCUUGGGCUCAUUCCCCCCAGAAAGUUUAAUGAAACAUGGAACUUCGGAAACUGCCAGGUUGCAACUUGCCUGGGAGAAGGAAAUAAUAUUAAACUGUCCAGCAUGACUUGCCCACCUCAGCAACUGAAACUCUGUGUCAAUGGUUUCCCAUUCACAAAACGCUAUGAUGAAACUGGUUGCUGUGAAGUCUUUGAGUGCCAGUGUAUUUGCAGUGGAUGGGGAAAUGAGCAUUAUGUGACUUUUGAUGGAACAUAUUAUAAUUUUAAAGAAAACUGCACCUAUGUGCUUGUGAAGUCAACUCAUCCUGACACUCACAACUUCUGGAUUCAUAUAGACAACUACUACUGCAGUGCCAUUGAUGGAGCAAUUUGUUCAAUGUCCCUUCUCAUUUUUCACUCUAACUCUGUUGUUGUUCUGACACAAGCAAUGGAACAUGGAAAAGAAACAAACUUGAUUUUGUUUAAUGAUAAGAAAAUUGUUCCAGACAUUUCCAAGAAUGGUAUCAGGAUAACCAGUUCCGGCCUCUAUGUCAUAGUAGAAAUUCCUGAAUUAGAAGCUUAUGUCUCCUACAGUCGACUUGCAUUUUACAUAAAACUGCCUUUUGGAAAGUUUUAUAACAGUACCAUGGGACUGUGUGGUACCUGUACCAACCAGAAAUUUGAUGAUGCUAUGAAGAGGAAUGGUGAAGUUUUCGAGUCCUUCAAAGAGAUGGCAUUAGAUUGGAAAGUCCCAGGUCCUACCAACAGAUACUGUAAUCCAGGUGUUUCAGAACCAGCUGAGAUUGAAGAUCAUCAGCACUGUGAACCUUCCAAUGUGUGUAAAAUAAUCUGGAACUUGACCGAGUGCCACAGCGUGGUCCGCCCACAGCCCUACUACGAGGCGUGUGUGGCCAGUGGGUGCUCAGAACAGCACCCCAGCUCUGAGUGCCAGAGCAUGCAGACAUAUGCAGCAUUGUGUGGGCUCCACGGGGUCUGUGUGGACUGGAGGACGCAGGCAAAUGGACAGUGCGAGACCAGCUGUGCUCAGGAUCAGAUAUACAAGCCAUGUGGAGAAGCAAAAAGAGACACUUGCUUCAGCAGAGGAGUCAUUAGAAAAACCCUUCCCUCCCAAAAUAACACACCAGUGUUUGUUGAGGGAUGCUACUGUCCUGAUGGAAAAAUUCUGCUGAAUGAUCAUGAUGGCAUUUGUGUUUCUGUCUGUGGUUGCAUUGCACAAGACGGGUCAGUGAAACAGCCUAGAGAGGCUUGGGAGCAUGACUGUCAAUACUGUACUUGUGAUGAAGAGACCUUGAACAUCUCUUGCUUCCCCCGCCCUUGUGCUAAAUCUCCACCUAUCAACUGCACUAAAGAGGGCUUUGUACGUAAAAUUAAAACACGUCUGGAUGACCCAUGCUGCACAGAUACAGUCUGUGAAUGUGAUAUAAAAACCUGCAUUAUCAACAAAACAGGAUGUGACUUAGGCUUCCAGCCAGUGGUUGCUAUAUCUGAGGAUGGUUGCUGUCCUAUUUUCUCCUGUAUACCAAAAGGUGUAUGUGUUUCUGAAGGAGUUGAAUUUAAGCCAUGGCCUGUCUCCUAUCUCCUCUAUAUUUCCAGCCUGGGGCAAUGGUGCCUAAAAGCUCUUGUGAGGACUGUGUGUGCACAGAUGAACUGGAUGUUGUGACACAGACCAAUCAUAUCCGGUGUGUUCCAGUGAAAUGCCAAACCACCUGCCAGCAGGUCAGUGCUGCACACUCAGCCUGCUCAACCAUGACCAAUGGUUGUUGAGGUGUUGUACUCUAAAACUGGCAUAGAGUAACUGCUUCCCCACUGAAAGACAGAAGGAUACAAUCUAUUAGAUUUUUUAAUAAAGUCCUUUUUAAGAUGUUGGUUAUUUUUGGUCUAGCAUGUUUAAGAGACCAUCCUUGGAGACAUGCCCUGAGGGAGAGCAAGGGCAAACUGACUGCUGAAAGACAUUUGUGCAGUUCUGUUGGUGUUGCCCACAGCCAUCUCAAAAAUUAAGAUUGUAAAGAAACGGCACAAUAGUUCAUACAUUUUCAGAUACUUCUCGGUACUCAUGAGCUGAGAGUUUGCACACAAACUGUUCAGUCUAUUAUUGAAUAUAAGCAGAGUGGUUUCUCUUCCAUUCUUGCUCAGAUAAGGCCAGACCACUGUCAAUCCUAAAAAUGGAUAAAACCAUUAUCCUUUAUCCUGAAGCCAGCCACACCCACCAAGAGACCUCAAACACAGGGGAGGGAAUAAGCGUUGCAGGAUCUUCACAUGUCUGACAGCAGCAGCUUUUGUGGAUAAUCAUAUCAGACCAAGCACUGGUAGUAGAUUGUGCCAGUAAUCAUACACUGAAUACAUUUAUUUGGCCUGACUUGUAUGUUAGCCAGAACAGACAAAGACAGGGUCUUGAUGGUAACAGAGGCACCCAGAAGUCACCAUUCAAUAAGAGAAAGAAUUAUCAGCUUUGAUUAUCAGACUUACAGUGGUUUCAACAAGUUUCUAAAGACAACAGAAAUGAAACCAGAAAGCUGACUUAUUUCCUCUGUCAUUUCCAUUGUGGCUUUGAUCCAAAGGUGUUUCAUGAACAAGACAUCAGAUAACAUGGCUAAAUGCAAACUUUAUUCCCCCAGGGUUUCCACAGUGUGGAAGAGGACGGUGAGUGCUGCAGCCAGUGCCAGCAAGUGGCAUGUGUGGCAAAUUUUCCAUUUGGCAAUGUGACCAUUGAGGUUGGAAAGAGCUAUAAAGCUCCAUAUGAUAACUGUACUCAGUACACGUGCAC
Molecule: RNA transcript, 7097 nt
Organism: Neopsephotus bourkii (Bourke's parrot)
Lineage: Eukaryota; Metazoa; Chordata; Aves; Psittaciformes; Psittacidae
Gene name: mucin-5B
Exons: 43
Source: RefSeq, a predicted model, not a curated record